GAUGAACGCUGGCGGCGUGCCUAAUACAUGCAAGUCGAGCGAACAGAUGAGGAGCUUGCUCCUCUGACGUUAGCGGCGGACGGGUGAGUAACACGUGGAUAACCUACCUAUAAGACUGGGAUAACUUCGGGAAACCGGAGCUAAUACCGGAUAAUAUAUUGAACCGCAUGGUUCAAUAGUGAAAGACGGUUUUGCUGUCACUUAUAGAUGGAUCCGCGCCGCAUUAGCUAGUUGGUAAGGUAACGGCUUACCAAGGCAACGAUGCGUAGCCGACCUGAGAGGGUGAUCGGCCACACUGGAACUGAGACACGGUCCAGACUCCGACGGGAGGCAGCAGUAGGGAAUCUUCCGCAAUGGGCGAAAGCCUGACGGAGCAACGCCGCGUGAGUGAUGAAGGUCUUCGGAUCGUAAAACUCUGUUAUUAGGGAAGAACAAAUGUGUAAGUAACUAUGCACGUCUUGACGGUACCUAAGCAGAAAGCCACGGCUAACUACGU
This 496-nucleotide ribosomal RNA is filed under the name uncultured bacterium. RNAcentral describes it as "partial 16S ribosomal RNA". It matches the Rfam family "Bacterial small subunit ribosomal RNA", at positions 28 to 506 of the family's 1533-position model. The record is from RNAcentral.